GAGCGGGGCCGCUCCUCCGGUGUGUGUCCGGCCGAAGUCACCAGCUGGGACAGCCGUCAGGAAAAUAAGAAGGGUGCCCUUCGAACUGGCACCGGUGGUGCGAAGGCGCUUGGCUGGCGGAAGAGGAGGGGCAAAGCCCGGGUCCUGGACGUGCCGGGGGCGUCGGAGGUGCCCACCUGUUUGUGGUGUUCAUUUAACUGCAGGGGACAGCGCGCCCUGGGUGCCCGGGCCCUCGGAGCGCGUCCCCGCCGCACAGGCUUCUAGGGGCGGGGUGCUGGGAGCCCCCCCGGCGUCCGGGUCUGGUCGGAGGAAGACCGGUCCCCGCGUGUAAUACGUGAAAAUGACUUCUAGUGCAAUGUUGAAUAGGAAUAGCCAGCAUGGACACCCUUGUCUUAUUCCUGAUCUUGGAAGGCUUUGAACACCUCACCAUUGGGUCAUUUUUCCUCACUGGAAGCUUCUGUGACCUUCUCUCAGCCAUUGGUGCCUUGCGGAUUCAUCACGGAGUGCCUAGGUUCCAAGAUAGAUUCAAGCUAAGGGUAACUUCACUGCAGAGUUGCUUAAAUGCACAGGUUGCAUGUUGAAGUAGACUCUGAAAUCCACCUGACGUUGAAAUUGCCUGGAGUAGUUUCAGAAAUAAAUUGACUUAGUUUGACACCAAAGAAAAUGGAAACAACAUGAUAAUUGAAACAACAGCACUAUAAUGAUAAGAUACAAUAAAUAGAUGAAUUUAAUGAUUGCUGAGUCCAAGCUGGAAUUCAUAGUGAUACCAAUGUGUCCCGACAUGUGACUCUCUCAGAAGCACACAGGAGCCCAAGAAAAUGGGCACGGUCCACAUGGAAGGGCGGGUGUGAGGACUGGCAGAGCUGACUGGCGGGGGGGGCCCUCGAUCUCCCACCUGACAGCGUGAUUUCAGAGAGCACAAUCAGCUGAUAGGAAAUAAGGAAUGAUGUUCAAACACUCAAAUAAGAAAGCAAGUGAUGUGUGAAUGUCUUGAAUAAUAAGGAAGAAUGAGGACAUAGGACAUGAUCAGUGGCCAUGAUGGAGUGGGAAAAGGAAGUUUGCCAUCAGGGGUGGGGCUCUAAAAAACACCGGAAGGCUGAACAGCUGUGAAUGAUGACAAGUUCCGCCGUGGGGUCAUGGAAGAGAUUGCUUUGGUUUAUCUACCUUGCGUCUGUCGUCUACCUUCCUCACCGUCGGCUGGCUGCUUACUACACGCCAGACACCAUGUCACCCUCUUCAAGGACACAUGGAAGACAAGCUCUUUCACUUCUGCGUCUGCCAAAGUAAUGAGCAGAGAAACGGGGUGGUGGGGUACGAGGGUUUCAUCCACCAGAAAGUUAAAAUGGUGUUGAAAAGACAAUGCAGAUUUUAGGUUCUUUAUGCCAAAGACUACUUAUUAUAGAGAGACAGUGUCCACUUUCCAAAACUGUAUGAAUAGAUUCAGUCCUGAAAUGUUAAAAAAAGAAUAGGCAAAACAUCAAAAUUUCGGGUAAAAUUUUCAUAUAAUCCUAAUAGGGACAAUACUUGUUUAAAUUCAAUUGUGAAGCAUUCUGAAAUUUUGAAGUUUUCCCGAAUGAUACUUAUUUAUCCCCUUUCUAUAAAAUGCUUGUCUAUGUUAUCACUUGCUCCUUAGAAUCCAAUUUGUGGUAGAUAAGGAUGGUUAUUCCUUUCUAUACACAAGGAAGCUGAGGCCCUAGGGGGUGAAGUAACUCUCUUGCUCAAGUUUCAUGGAAAGAAAUAGCGGAGCUGUUCUCCAGACACCUCUGAUCUGCAGAGCGAGCUUGGUCCAUGCGAUCUGCACCCACACCAGCUCCAUCUCUGUGCCCCUUGGCGUCUUAGAUCAUAUUUUGUCCUUGACUCACCUGCACCAAGGGUUGAGGCAGAAAUACCUAUUUCGACUUCAAUUCCCAUUUCCUACUCGAGGAGGCUCACUCCUCUCAUAGGGCACAUUGAUCAUGGACCCACAACGUUCUUCUUCCUUUAUUGCUUAGUGCCUCACGGUGCUGGAGAGCUGUGUUAGGUCAUAGAUGGAAGCACUGCAUUGUGUGCAUCCUCACCAGCGGCCACUUCCUGGGAAAGGUGACAGGCCUCCCAGGAAGGGGCAACUGCAUCUAUCCCUCUGACACAGCCGCAUAGACUCUUUCCAAAAUCGGCAGUCAUCCUUCCCAGUUAGUGAAACCAAAUGGAGAUUAGGUUGUUCAACGGCACUCAACAAAUCUCCUGAAUUUCUGUUUCCAGAAAACGUCCCGGAGCAGUGUGCAGUAGGCACGCGACAUGAACAAUCAUUCCCAAAGUACAAUCGGUGUGCGUACAUCCCCUGACACAGAGGACUGCCAAUCCCGUGGAACUCCAUAGGAAUGUUGCCCCGUGGCAGGCUCACCAACCUUCAGCCUUGGCUGACGCCUUCGACUUGCUCUUCGGGGAAACAAGAGAGGCUGUUUUUGUUCUGGGCUGGAGCAGGGUCUGAUCAUUUUCUCUCCUGAGUCGCUAAAACACGGAUAAGGUUUCUUAAUUCUGUCUCAUAUUGGGGGGCAUCUGUUCACUUCUUCCCUAAAAAUAAGAGGCUUUAUGUAAACUGAACCUUUCUGACAGCGAAUUAACCUCACACAACACCAGCCUCACCUGCCCCGGGUGGGAUGGGGCAGAGGCACCCCGAGCUCCAUCUUUUUACACACACUCAGCUCACAACAACGUUCUGCGGUCCACAGUGUGUGACAGGGGAUCUGUGAAGCUGGCACACUUCUAGCACAUUUUCUCCCAUAGAAUCCUCAUAGCUGCUGACAGUAACUUUUACCUUUCUAGGUCUCAAAUGGUAAAAUUAGAAAGUUGAACUAAUGGCUGUCUGAGGUCCCCACGC
Molecule: non-coding RNA, 2857 nt
Organism: Callorhinus ursinus (northern fur seal)
Lineage: Eukaryota; Metazoa; Chordata; Mammalia; Carnivora; Otariidae
Source: RefSeq, a predicted model, not a curated record